AUGAACGCUGGCGGCGUGCUUAACACAUGCAAGUCGCACGAGAACGUUUCAGCUUGCUGAAACUAGUAAAGUGGCGCACGGGUGAGUAACGCGUGGGUAAUCUACCUCCAAAUUGGGGAUAACAUUGCGAAAGCGAUGCUAAUACCGAAUAAUAUCUCAAACGUUUCGGCUUUUGAGAUCAAAGGUGGCCUCUCCAUGGAAGCUACUGUUAGGAGAUGAGCCCGCGUACCAUUAGCUUGUUGGUAGGGUAAUGGCCUACCAAGGCAACGAUGGUUAGCUGGUCUGAGAGGACGAUCAGCCACACUGGAACUGACACACGGUCCAGACUCCUACGGGAGGCAGCAGCGAGGAAUUUUGCGCAAUGGGGGAAACCCUGACGCAGCAACGCCGCGUGAGUGAUGAAGGCUUUCGGGUCGUAAAGCUCUGUCAAGUGGGAAGAACCUGCCCAGUGCUAAUAUCACCGGGCACUGACGGUACCACUGAAGGAAGCACCGGCUAACUCCGUGCCAGCAGCCGCGGUAACACGGGGGGUGCAAGCGUUAUUCGGAAUCACUGGGCGUAAAGAGCGCGUAGGCGGUCUCUUAAGUCAGAUGUGAAAGCCCGGGGCUUAACCCCGGAAGUGCAUUUGAAACGGAGGGACUUGAGUAUGGGAGAGGGAAGUGGAAUUCCUGGUGUAGCGGUGAAAUGCGUAAAUAUCAGGAGGAACACCGGUGGCCAUGG
Molecule: ribosomal RNA, 720 nt
Filed under: uncultured bacterium
Lineage: Bacteria
Description: bacterial SSU rRNA
Rfam family: Bacterial small subunit ribosomal RNA
Source: RNAcentral